Molecule: ribosomal RNA, 468 nt
Filed under: uncultured bacterium
Lineage: Bacteria
Description: partial 16S ribosomal RNA
Rfam family: Bacterial small subunit ribosomal RNA
Source: RNAcentral
GACGAACGCUGGCGGCGUGCUUAACACAUGCAAGUCGAACGGAAAGGCCCUGCUUUUGUGGGGUGCUCGAGUGGCGAACGGGUGAGUAACACGUGAGUAACCUGCCCUUGACUUUGUGAUAACUUCAGGAAACUGGGGCUAAUACCGGAUAGGAGCUCCUGCUGCAUGGUGGGGGUUGGAAAGUUUCGGCGUUUGGGGAUGGACUCGCGGCUUAUCAGCUUGUUGGUGGGGUAGUGGCUUACCAAGGCUUUGACGGGUAGCCGGCCUGAGAGGGUGACCGGCCACAUGGGGACGGAGAUACGGACCAGAGUACUACGGGAGGCAGCAGUGGGGAAUAUUGCACAAUGGGAGGAAGCCUGAUGCAGCAACGCCGCGUGCGGGAUGACGGCAUUCGGGUUGUAAACCGCUUUCGCCUGUGACGAAGCGUGAGUGACGGUAAUGGGUAAAGAAGCACCGGCUAACUACGUG